GUGAUAUUUUAAUCUGAGGAUUAGAUUUUAUUUAGAGGUUAGAUUUAAUCUGAGGAUUAGAUGUGUUUUAAUCUGAGAUAGAUUUUACUUAGAGGUAGAGAUUUUAAUCUGAGGAUUAGAUUUUAUUUAGAGGUGUAGAUUUUAAUCUGAGGAUUAGAUUUUAAUCUGAGGAUAGAUUUUUAAUCUGAGGAUUAGAUUUUAUUUAGAGGUGUAGAUUUUAAUCUGAGGAUUAGAUUUUAUUUAGAGGUGUAGAUUUUAAUCUGAGGAUUAGAUUUUAUUUAGAGGUGUAGAUUUUAUUUCCUGAGGAUUAGAUUUUAUUUAGAGGUGUAGAUUUUAAUCUGAGGAUUAGAUUUUAUUUAGUGUGUAGAUUUUAAUCUGAGGAUUAGAUUUUAUUUAGAGGUGUAGAUUUUAAUCUGAGGAUUAGAUUUUAUUUAGAGGUGUAGAUUUUA
Ictalurus punctatus (channel catfish) is the source of this 449-nucleotide long non-coding RNA. NCBI's taxonomy places the organism in Eukaryota, Metazoa, Chordata, Actinopteri, Siluriformes, Ictaluridae. The record is from Ensembl.